Molecule: long non-coding RNA, 1179 nt
Filed under: Homo sapiens (human)
Lineage: Eukaryota; Metazoa; Chordata; Mammalia; Primates; Hominidae
Description: non-protein coding lnc-PTPRC-4:1
Source: RNAcentral
AAUGAUAAAUAAAGUGAUUAAUUAUUUUUUCUUUCCUUGGGCUAAUCAUAGUCAUAGUUUGUUAAAGAUAAAACCUCAUAUCUUAACAGUUUAAAUCCUCCACAAUGGAAAAUAGGAUCUCUGUGUUCUUGCUUCCAAUUAAUCUAAUGUCAGAGAAGAUAGUAAACUUUAGGCUCUAUAUUCUAAAUUAUUUCGAGCAAUACAGAAAAAUCGUUCUACUUGUUGGUGCAAUUUAGUUUUCUGCUCACUUAUAUGGUCUUGCAAUUACUGUCAUGUACCUUCCAAUCCUAUAUCUUUUCCAUCUUUAUUUUCACAACUUAAUCCUUAGUUAUAAAUCAUUUAUCUUUAAAAUAUUAAGAUGCAAUGGUACUGAGAUUUCACAUUUUCUGGCAAUUUUUUAGAACACAUUGUUCAUAAUUCCAGAAUUCCAAGUUGGUGGUAGCAAUAUGCAUUCUUGCAUAGUUUUCCUUGAAUGAAAAAAAGUCACAAGCAAUAGGUCAUUAAUGCAUAAAUACUCUCUUAUCCCCCUCUUCCUAAUUUUGGAGGGCUGUGUGGGUAGGAUAAAACCAAUCUAAUUUGCAUCAAAGCCAAAUUUAUUGUAGCUUUCAUUUCUCAUCCCUAGGCUUGUGGGAACAUUAAGUAUUUCAGUUUUGCUUAAGGUUAGUAGGUCAUAAAUAAACCAAAGCAAUUUUUUUGCUUUGUGCAAGAGGGUCACGAAAUACAUGAAAUACCACUUUUAAACAAAGCAAACCCUAACAUGAAUUGACAGAGGAACAUAAAAAAGUAGUGCAAUGUGCCUCAGUAAAAAGCCAUAGGGAUUUGGGAUGCUGAAGUUGUCUGUUUUAGGAAUAGAUUAUAUAUCUUGUUUGAUGAUCUGUAUUUAAUUUAAGUGACUGCCUCUGCCAGUCCUUCCAGAGGGCAAGUGUGUGAAAUAGAGCAUCUCAAUGUCAGUCUCCAGUCCUUUCCUCUGCCUGAUGCCUUGACCUAAAUUGGGCAUGUGGGCAUUGAUCUGGACAAAUGAAAGAGACUGAGUCUUUGCUGCCAUGCACGUUUUAUCCUUAGUUCUACCUAGUUUUAAAAUCUGAUGAGCAGCAUGUAUGCAUAAAUAGAUUUAUAGUUUAGUCAGUUUUAUUUUAUGUCAUGAAAGUGAAUCUAUUCAAAACAAAAGAAGUGAAAAAU